UCUGCCCCUCAGGAUCUCACCCAACACCCUGUUUCGGUCCCUGCAACAGGGAGGGUCCCUCUCUGGUUGCCAGUGGCCUCAGAGGUGCCUCAUGGGAGCGUCACUGCCCUGGCCCUCACCCUAGCUCAGCAUGGGGUGCAGGAACCGCCCCCCCCAUGCCUCACACCCUGCACAGCAGCACCCAGAGCCCCGUGGAGACCUUUAAGAAAGAUCUAGUGGGUAUGGAGGACAGCAUCCCUGCUGCCAGUCCCCACAAGCCUGGUCGUGCUCCGCCAACCGGCAGAACCAUGAUAAAGCCCAAAGAUGAGGUUUGGGGGGCUGGCAGGGCCUGUGGGUGGGUGGCCCGCGCUGAAGAAAGCUCACAUCACCAUGGGGCUGGGUUGUCUUUGUUUGCUUUUUCAGUGACGGUGACCAUCCCAGCAGUCCCAGAGAAGCCUGUGGACCUGCCCAAGCAGGGGUCAGUGCCUUUGACAAGGUCUUUCCUCAGCAGCCAGGUGACACCAACAGCAAUGGCCAAUGACAGAGGACCCUGUCAGUUCAUCUGCCUUUGA
This 551-nucleotide long non-coding RNA is filed under the name Calidris pugnax (ruff). Its description in RNAcentral is "lncRNA (ENSCPUG00000018215.1)". Lineage: Eukaryota; Metazoa; Chordata; Aves; Charadriiformes; Scolopacidae. The record is from RNAcentral.